RNAcentral lists this ribosomal RNA (539 nucleotides) under Salmonella enterica. RNAcentral's name for it is "partial 23S ribosomal RNA". It matches the Rfam family "Bacterial large subunit ribosomal RNA", at positions 711 to 1247 of the family's 2925-position model. Lineage: Bacteria; Pseudomonadati; Pseudomonadota; Gammaproteobacteria; Enterobacterales; Enterobacteriaceae. The record is from RNAcentral. RNAcentral also lists the same sequence under 2 other names.
AGACCCGAAACCCGGUGAUCUAGCCAUGGGCAGGUUGAAGGUUGGGUAACACUAACUGGAGGACCGAACCGACUAAUGUUGAAAAAUUAGCGGAUGACCUGUGGCUGGGGGUGAAAGGCCAAUCAAACCGGGAGAUAGCUGGUUCUCCCCGAAAGCUAUUUAGGUAGCGCCUCGUGAAUUCAUCUCCGGGGGUAGAGCACUGUUUCGGCUAGGGGGCCAUCCCGGCUUACCAACCCGAUGCAAACUGCGAAUACCGGAGAAUGUUAUCACGGGAGACACACGGCGGGUGCUAACGUCCGUCGUGAAGAGGGAAACAACCCAGACCGCCAGCUAAGGUCCCAAAGUCAUGGUUAAGUGGGAAACGAUGUGGGAAGGCCCAGACAGCCAGGAUGUUGGCUUAGAAGCAGCCAUCAUUUAAAGAAAGCGUAAUAGCUCACUGGUCGAGUCGGCCUGCGCGGAAGAUGUAACGGGGCUAAACCAUGCACCGAAGCUGCGGCAGCGACACUCAGGUGUUGUUGGGUAGGGGAGCGUUCUGUAAG